AUACGGAGGGUGCAAGCGUUAUUCGGAAUCACUGGGCGUAAAGGACGCGUAGGCGGGUUGGCAAGUCAGAUGUGAAAUCCUACAGCUUAACUGUAGAACUGCAUUUGAAACUGCUAACCUAGAGUAUGGGAGGGGGAGAUGGAAUUAGUGGUGUAGGCGUAAAAUCCGUAGAUAUCACUAGGAAUACUGAAAGCGAAGGCGAUCUCCUGGAACAUAACUGACGCUAAGGCGUGAAAGCGUGGGGAGCAAACAGGAUUAGAAACCCUAGUAGUCC
This 274-nucleotide ribosomal RNA is filed under the name uncultured bacterium. RNAcentral's name for it is "partial 16S ribosomal RNA". It matches the Rfam family "Bacterial small subunit ribosomal RNA", at positions 523 to 796 of the family's 1533-position model. The record is from RNAcentral.